AUGGCAACAUAUUUUUAUGAUUCCGAUAUAAAACUACUUCUUACAAACAGUGGCAAAAGUAACAACUUGACUAAUGCUUUUAAUUUUUUUAAAAAUAAAAUCUAUGACAUUGAAGAUAAAACUAUAUCAGAAGAGCUAUUAGGAGAGAUUCUCUAUAUUGGAUUAAUUAUAAAAAAAAAUAAAACAACAUGCAAUAGUAAAAAUAAAGUAAAAAAAUGGAUAGAAAAGUAUAUAAAUUCUUAUAUUAAUGUAGACAUUGUGUUAGUUAAUGAAGAUGGUGUAGAAAUGUCAACUGUUGCACAUAAAUUGCAUUUAUUACAAAAAAAUUAUUUAGAUCAUGAUUUUAAAAGCAUAUAUAAAAAGAUGAUUGUUAAAACUAAAAAUAUAACUGCAAACAAUGUUAUAGAUGCUAUUACAAAUGAUACUCCAUAUGAUUCAACAAAUAGUACCGAUAAAGUAAAAAAAAAUAAAAAUAAAAUACCUGAUAGCAAUUUAAUACAAAGUCAUAAUGCCGAAAAAACAGCAACUGAAAACGAACAAUCAACAACUAAUAAAAUGGAUUACAUAAAACAAAAAAAAGGUUUUUACAAUGACAAAAGUGAUGACAAUGGCAAAAGUGAUGACAAUGGCAAAAGUGAUCACAUCAAGGAAGGACAAAAAAAUAAGACAAAAAAAUUAAUGUUAAUAAACAUUGAUAAUAACAACAUACCAUCAGAAGAAAUAGACAAGUUUCUUUCAAAUUAUUGUUUUACUGAUAUAAAAGGGAUAAUGUAUUUAAUCGAAUUACCAUUAUCUAUUUCUGAAAAAUAUAUAAAGCAAAAGAUACAAUUAAAAGUACAAUUGUGUGAAAAUAUUUAUAUAGAAAGACAAAAAAAUAAAUAUAUGCAAUUUUUGAGUAAACAAAAUUUAAAUGAUUUAAAAAAGUUUUUCGAAUAUCCUUCUAUAUUAUUAAAUAAUGUACAAUGGUCUUCAACCUUUACGGCCCAAUGUAUGUAUGAUCAAAAAAAAGAAAAUAAUAAUAAUAAUAAUCACAUUACUAACGAUAGUUUAUACAAUUAUGAAAGCAGUAAUGUUGAUAAUGAUGAUAAGGAUGAAGAUGAGGAAAAUAACUUUCUAAACAUUUAUGACGAAAACAAUUUUAAAGAUGUUAAUAAAAAUUAUCCAAUACCUGUGAACUUACAUAGUAUUUGUAAAAAUUUAAAUAAUUUAGAUAUAUUUAUUCAUAAUACAAAUAAUAACAAGAACAAUAUUAAUAAUACUUAUCAAAAAAAAUAUACCUUUUUUAAACCUAUUGUGGUUAUCAACCCUUUAAAUAUAAAAUGCAAAAUAAUAGAUAACUACGUUUAUUUAGAAAUCGAAAAUAUAACAAAAAAUUAUAAAAUAGAAAUAUACGAAUUGUUUUCAAAGUCAAUUGAUAUUGAUCAUGAUAUUUUCCCUUUUUCACUGCACCCUGAAGAUAUGUAUUCAUUUUACUUUCCCAUUGUAAACUUUGUUCAAAUUAUUUCUUCAAAUAAUUAUAUAAAAAAUAAAAAAUUAACAAAUUCGAAUGAAUAUAGUAGGAGUCAUAAUGUUAACACUACUUCUAACGCUACUAUAGCUAAUACUAAUAUUAGUAAUGACAGUUCAAAUAAAAAUUAUAGUGUUAUAGAAAAAUAUAAAAGCAACCAAGAAAUAUUAACAAUUCAU
This 1686-nucleotide long non-coding RNA is filed under the name Piliocolobus tephrosceles (Ugandan red Colobus). RNAcentral describes it as "lncRNA (ENSPTEG00000010287.1)". The record is from RNAcentral. Lineage: Eukaryota; Metazoa; Chordata; Mammalia; Primates; Cercopithecidae.